GACGAACGCUGGCGGCGUGCUUAACACAUGCAAGUCGAACGAAAAUACCAAGCUUGCUUGGUUGAUUAGUGGCGAACGGGUGAGUAACACGUGAGUAACCUGCCCCUUACUUUCCUGGAUAACUGCUCGAAAGGGUAGCUAAUACGGGAUAUUCUGACCAGCCUGCAUGGGUUGGUUUGGAAAGGUUGUUUUUCUGGUAAGGGAUGGGCUCGCGGCCUAUCAGCUUGUUGGUGGGGUGAUGGCCUACCAAGGCUUUGACGGGUAGCCGGCCUGAGAGGGUGGACGGUCACACUGGGACUGAGAUACGGCCCAGACUCCUACGGGGGGCAGCAGUGGGGAAUAUUGCACAAUGGGCGCAAGCCUGAUGCAGCGACGCCGCGUGAGGGAUGAAGGCCUUCGGGUUGUAAACCUCUUUCGUCAGGGAACAAGGCACUGCUUUUUUGGUGGUGUUGAGGGUACCUGGAUAAGAAGCGCCGGCUAACUACGUG
RNAcentral lists this ribosomal RNA (488 nucleotides) under uncultured bacterium. Its description in RNAcentral is "partial 16S ribosomal RNA". It matches the Rfam family "Bacterial small subunit ribosomal RNA", at positions 28 to 507 of the family's 1533-position model. The record is from RNAcentral.